GAUUCUAUGUUCACGGAUUAAUAUACUUUUCUUUUUUCUGAUUUCAUUCAGCUCUUUCUGUUGUUCUGGAGUCAAAUCCUCACCUUCCAUUUCUUCAUCUUCUCCAUCUCCUUGUUCUUGAAGAAGCCCUUCUUCUUUCUCCAAUUCCUCAAGCCUCUGUAAAAUAUCCUGAUCGAUAAAAUCAUACACGUUAUGCCCAUCGAGUAUUUCAGGUAUGUUAUCUUCCUUCCAUUCAUCAUCAGCUAAAAGAUAAUGUUUCUUCAAACUUGCAGAGUAAACACCCGCUCCACCAUUUUCAUUUUCAUUCUCCCUUUCCAACUUCCUCUUCACCUUUUCAGCUUCCAUGGCUUUAGCUUCAACAACAGCUUCAGGUAUACAAACAGGUCUUUCCUUCUGAUCACGUGGCUUUGGCAUUGCAACAUGAAACCGAUUCAAACACUCGUUUAUCUUCUUUGACUUCAUUUUGACUUCAACUCUCUGGUCCAACAACCUCUCACAAGCUGCGUUUUUUACCGCGAUU
This 520-nucleotide long non-coding RNA is filed under the name Lactuca sativa (garden lettuce). Its description in RNAcentral is "long non-coding RNA (LSAT_LNC008967)". The record is from RNAcentral. Lineage: Eukaryota; Viridiplantae; Streptophyta; Magnoliopsida; Asterales; Asteraceae.